Long non-coding RNA from Malus domestica (apple), 495 nucleotides. RefSeq lists it as uncharacterized. The record is from RefSeq and is a predicted model, not a curated record. NCBI's taxonomy places the organism in Eukaryota, Viridiplantae, Streptophyta, Magnoliopsida, Rosales, Rosaceae.
AACCCUCAGAGAAUAAGUUACAACUCCGUCACUCUCUCUCUCCGCCUCUCGACUUCGACUCGACCACACCUCGGCGACCUCGCUCAGACAACCUCACCACCCUCCUCGACCUCACCUCUGACAACCUCCUCACCUCAGAAUCCGGCCACACCCACAUCACACAGACCCUCUGAUCUCUCUCUCGACUUCGUACCUCUCUCUCUCCGUCACUCUCUCUCUCUGUCGCUCUCUCUCUGUCAUGCUCCAUAAACAACCCAAUUCCACGCCAUAAGUCCCACACAAACGAGACUGCCUUUGUGUCCAUGAAUCGUUGAAGGGAUUUUGCUUAUCUGAGGCCUCUUUUGGUGACAACGAGUCGAUGAUACUUUGUGAUUGAACAUGUUCGAAAGUGUUUAGUUUCGGAAUAUUUUGGAGCUUUGAAAUCUAGUAUUCAAGAUAAUGACUACUUUUUGUUUUUAGAAGCUUUGCUUUUUAAUCAUAUGGAUUAUAAUUAAA